CAGAAUGGCCGCUCGGUCACCAUCUUAAGCAACAGCAGUGAGUGGCCUUGGAAGACCAAUGCAGAAAUUUUCAGGCUUUAUGCAGCAUGGUCACUACUACAGGCUCUUAUGUCACUACUCUGUGGCACUCUUCAACAAACAGAUGGCAGGUGUAGAAACAAAGACUUCAGUCCAAAGAGGGACAAGCACCAAGCCCCAGCACAUUAGUGGAUUCAGCAAGAAAUCCAGGAUCCC
Molecule: long non-coding RNA, 234 nt
Organism: Suricata suricatta (meerkat)
Lineage: Eukaryota; Metazoa; Chordata; Mammalia; Carnivora; Herpestidae
Exons: 3
Source: RefSeq, a predicted model, not a curated record